Molecule: long non-coding RNA, 4457 nt
Organism: Chinchilla lanigera (long-tailed chinchilla)
Lineage: Eukaryota; Metazoa; Chordata; Mammalia; Rodentia; Chinchillidae
Exons: 2
Source: RefSeq, a predicted model, not a curated record
UAUAUCCUCAGCCCCCUUCUUGCCAUGUUUUGAAGCAGUUCUGGAAGUCCUCUUUCAUGAGUAUCUGCACUGUCAUGGUUGUAAUAUUCUGAACUGAUUCAAAACUCUAAAACUGAAUCUUAGAGGCUACAGAAGACAAGUCCAAAGAGUAGAAAGUGUGCAGUCAUUUCUACCCACAAGGAGGAUAAUGCUGGGGGUAGCAGCUUUAACAUAGUGCCAGGUGGGAGAGGUUGAGGAGAGUGUGGCAGGGCAUACUCCUGUGUGGGCACUCAGAGAACUGGGGGCAGAAGAGAGGAUAGAUAGGUAGCAUAGUAGGUGGAAGGAAAGAAGGGGAUGAAGAACAUUUAACAUUGCUGAGAAGCAUCAGUAGAAAGGUAAAGGUCACAAGUGCAAACAAAGAGGGAACAAGUCCGACGUUACAUGGAGACCCACACUUGUUAUGAGCUGCUGUUGUGCACAUGGCCUCCUUCCAUUCUCCAGGCACUGCUCAUCCCCCGCUUUGCCCCGUUUUGCUCUUAUCUACCAGCUGACACGAGUGUGUGCUUUCUUCACUAAAUGCCUAUAGUUUUAAAAGUUACCCAUGCAACUCCAAUGAGCGUUUAGGUUUAGAAACUGGUAGAGACUGGCCUGAUGUCUUGCACACUCCCUCUUUUGAAAUAAGUCCACAGUGCCUACAGUGGGCCCCAUUUCACAAAUCCUUACUCUCAUCUUCAGGCCUAUGGAGCUAUGCAGCAGCAGGGACAGGCACCCAACUCCACCUGAGUCAUCUCUUGUGCUCACACAAUCACCCCAAAUAUCUUACUGAGCCUUUGUGUCCACUAAGCCAAGAUGAGAAGUUGCUGCUCAUAGCGGAAAGAGACUUUCUUUCACAGUCUUGUUUCAGUAAUAAUCUAUCAUUCGUAAAACAUUAUUAAUGGGUUCAGAUACUGCGUCCAGGGCUUGCACACAGUAGUAUUCUCACAAAAUAAUAAUUUCCCUUAGUUUCAUUGACAUCAUGUUUCCUUGGUGCUCAUCUCUAAGCCAUUUCUCUGCCAGCAUUUAGGACACCCUCUACCAUUUGCUUUUGGUAUCCUGGUGUAUUUCUUACCAGUUUACUUUUAUGCUUUUAAAAAAUAUAUUUGAAAAUAUACUGUGUGCUCUUUUUUUUCACUUGUUAUGUUAAUGUAAGCAGUUUCCUGUUAAAGUUAUUCACUGCAUUUUUUUUUUUCCAGUACCAGGGAUCAAACUCACAACCUCACACUUGCCAGGCAGGCACUGUACCGCUGAGCUAAAUCCCCAGCCCUCACUGUGAUUUUUGAUAACUGCUAGGUAGUCCCUCUCUCAGGGGUUCCAAGCUUUACUUGGCCAUUUCCCCACAGUUAGACAUGUAGGUGCUCACGUGUUUACACAUAAGUCUUUGUUCACAUGUCUGAUUAUAUUCUGUCACUAGAAUAUAAUUUUAUAAGAGGGAUUGCAGUGGCAAACACCUUUAAAUGAAUAGGAAAGCUGCUCACAUUAAGAAUUAAAAGUGAUAUGCUUUUUUCAUAAAAAGGUGCUAACCUUUUAAGUCCUGUUGAUAUCAUUAUAAAAAAGAAUGACUUUAUGAAUCCUAUUCUGUUUUUAUAUUUUGAGAAUAACAUUGUCUCUUUCAUCUUAAAAGUUAACCUUGUGAUUGUUCAUAGUGUUUGUUGCGCAUGGUCCAAAAAGAACUACAUAGACUUGAUCCCUGUGUUCUAAAGUUCAUGUCUGAGGACACAGUGAGACAGUGAGAUCCACUAAGGGCCGUGCUGCUCAUUCUCCUUGAGGAUCUGUGUUGUAAUCUAUUUCCUCCCCUGUUCCAGAGCAUAACCAGUGACGCUGUCAGAAAGGCACCGUUACCAUCCGCUGUUUACCAGUGACGCUGUCAGAAAGGCACCGUUGCCAUCCGCUGUUUACCUGUCUAACUUCUUUUUCCCAUUUCCCUCUUGACUCACCCUUGCCACAUCACUUUGCUGUUUUUUCGCGCUGCCGCAGGCCCCAGAGUAAUGCUGUGUACAAUCAGCAAGGGUAAUAGGCGACACUGGUUUGAAGAGCUUACUGGAGCUAUCGUAGCUGGUCAGCCUGGAGAUGUGCUUGGAAACUACAGGCCCUGCCCACAGCUGUGUCAGACCCCAGGACACCAUCUGCUGUCUGCCUGUCACUGGAAUCCCCAGGUACUGCGCUCCUCUAGCUGGGUCUCCUCCUGUCACCCUGUGCUACAGCUGUCCCAUGAGUGCCUGCCCUACUUGGCUCUGAAAAACAGCCCAGCAAGAAUUCAGAAACAAGCCCAUCCUUGUAGGCCUUAUGCCUGCUAAGACAAAGGUAACAUUAAUGAUAACAAACACUGUUUACUAUUAUUCACUUAAUUGUUGGCCUUUACACUCUCAACCACGGCACAAGUCAUGCUCUAAUUUACUCUUUGAUGAGCUCUGACAGCUCAUGUAGACAAACAUAUGGAACAUGUUAUCAUCAACAUAAAAAGGAAUAUCCAGUCUGUUCCACACAGCCUAACAGAGAAGUCAGAACUCCUCCUGUGGAGUAUCCCAUACAUUUGUUUAGUUUUUGUUCUUCCCAAGUCCGAUCUUAAUUUGUUUUAUUGCUAUUCAGCCACUGGAAGAGGAGAAGUAAAUUUGAGAGAUUCUUAACAGAUUUUUUCCCCCGUAUGUUAGCUUCAUAGCUUAAUAUGAUCUGGAAAGAGGUUGUUUUGAUUAUUUUCAGACUGCAGUCAUUUGUACUAUCUCUCUUACAGUGAGCUACCUGAGAGUUAGUUAUCAUCAAAUAUCCAUCUGCCCAGGGUAAAUUACAAGUUAUACCAGGUGUCUGGUGAACAAUACUAAUGCAACAAAUGUAUUUUACUCUUUCAUCUUAAGGCAAUCAGCUAGUAAAAUAAAAAUUAUGGAUUUUUAUUUAUAAUUUUGGUUUUUAAGGCUGAUGUACUAUUUAUAUUAGAUUUAAACUUUUAAAAUUUAUUUUUCCAUUCGAAUUUCCUGUGCAUGAAUCACAUAAUCAUCUCCUUUGCCCAUCUAUGCACUGGGGGUAUUGAUGGUGUUUAUAUGCACAUUCGAUUACAUUUUCAUAUCCUUAGAGAUAACUGUUUUCCACAUACCAUGACUUUUACAAUUUUUAUUGUUAGUUAUUUUUAAUUGCUUAGAAUUUAAAAAUUUAUGUAACUGUAUCAUACUGUUUUGCUUUACUUUGAAUUUCUCAUUUUGCUCCAAUUGUAGGAAAAUCACCACUUUAAAGUGAGACCAAGAGCCCCAUUUUUCCUUUCACAUUCCAUUUCCCACCACCCCCAAGAACUUACUCUGAUAUUCUCUGAACCCCAAAGCCCAAACCCCAUUCACUCUUCAGGACAUUAUUUUCACAAAGGGUACACACUUGUGUUAUGACUUCAGUGAGGCAGUUUAUUGUCCACAUGUUGAUCCUGUAGUUAUAACUAUUGCUUUUGUCUUCUGUGGUUCAAAGGGUCUAUGGUUUACAACCGUUCAACUCCAAAUUCACUCAUUCAUUUAUCAUUUUACUCACAUAUUGCUUAUUCAUUCAGUGACCUCCAAUGAUCCCUGCUUCUUGGUGCUCACCCUUGGGUAUGGGCAGGAGCUUGUGGUUUGCUUCUAACCCAUAAGAUGAUGGUAAGAGUGAUGGGGUGACUUUCCUGUGUUUGUUCUACAUAAUAGAAGACUGCUUUGCUAGCAAACCCACCCUAGAGACCCCUUGUUCACUUGAAGUAAAUGGCCCCAUUGUGGAAGCCCACACAGCUGACUUCAGCCAGGAACCAGAAAGAAGGCUGGAUCCCUGGUUCUUACAGCCACAGGAAAUGGGUUUUGCUGAGAACUUGAGUGAGCCUGGAAGAGAUUCCCCCCCCAGUCAAGCCUCCAGAUGUUAAUUAUUUAUACUGAAUGAUUGAGGAUUUUGGAGUCAGAGACUCACCUGCGAUAUUUGGAAUACCAGUGGAGAUCUACAUCAACACCCAAUUUAUACAGCAGCUGGUGCUAGUCAAAGCUAAUGAUGAAAUUUCAGUUUAAUAAAAAGACCCCCAACUGAGCACACCAUCUUGAAAAAAGUACACUUAUCAAACAGCUUUCAAUCAGUUGAAGAGGACACCUUAAUUGGGAAGAUAAAGAAUUGUAGAGGGGUUUGUCAUCAUGCCAAUUCUAGAUCAAUAACUGCAUGUCUGCUCUUCGGUAGGCAUAGCUUUUGCUUUCUGUUAAGUAACCACAUCUACACACUCUGCAUUUGGAGGAGAGCUUUGUUUCGUAUGACAGUGUGUAAUGAUGUCCUCUUUUAAUUCACCUCUGUGCCUUGAUAUCAAACAUGAAAUUUGAGAUGUGAUUAUAAAGGUCAAUAUGAUUUUUAUUUUUAAUUGAAUUCUUCAUUUCUUGUAACUGAAGCAUAGUAGUUGUGCAAUAUUUACAUGCUCAGAAAUUGUUUUGUUGAAAUAAAACUAUAUGAGCAAAAUUAAA